AUGCUAAGCUGUCAGACUUUG
RNAcentral lists this microRNA (21 nucleotides) under Hevea brasiliensis (rubber tree). Its description in RNAcentral is "hbr-miR6174". The record is from miRBase by way of RNAcentral. Lineage: Eukaryota; Viridiplantae; Streptophyta; Magnoliopsida; Malpighiales; Euphorbiaceae.